Tympanuchus pallidicinctus (lesser prairie-chicken) is the source of this 1553-nucleotide long non-coding RNA. RefSeq lists it as uncharacterized. The transcript is spliced from 6 exons. The record is from RefSeq and is a predicted model, not a curated record. Lineage: Eukaryota; Metazoa; Chordata; Aves; Galliformes; Phasianidae.
GCCACUGAAAAGAAAUCUUCUUUUUGAUCUACCCUGCUGUGUAGGAGUGCUGUGUAGUCACAGAGUACCUUCACCAGUUGGCUUCUGCUGGAUAUUAAUCUACUGAAACUCCAUCUUGGAUCAGCCAUGUCCGAAGUUUACUGAUUUUUCUCUGGUAGAUGUAUGGAUAUUGAUCAGUUUCCACAGAAAUAAACAGAGAAAAAAAAGGAGGCAUUACUUUCAUAGUGACCUACAUAUACCAUGAUUCACAAGCAGGGAAGGAGAAGUUUAUUACAGUUUGAAGCAUAAAGAGAAAUUCAAUUAAAAAAAGUCAUGAUCAGAAUCCUAAGGAUGAAUUUGAAAACAACAAAAGAUGUUCUGGGGCAAAACUCCGGGACAGGAAAUAGCUGAGCCUGUCUGACACCACUGCAGCGUUAGACUCACUGGAGCAGCUGGGGCUCAUUACUUCAUUGGGUAUUCCUUGGCUCAGGCCAAACUCUCUUGGCUCUUUUUCACCUCUUCUGAUGCACAGCUCCUAGAAAAACUGUGUCAAGAGCCUGUGUGCAUGAAUGCUCUUAAUAGCACUGAUAAGCAUCACUGAUAAGCACCCCCCUCUAUUCCCUCCACUCAAGGACUGCGUUACGUCUCAGACCCUGCCCAAGUUAUGCUAUAAAUAUGCCUGCUUAUAGCUCCAGCUGUGUUACAGCAAUGCCUGGCAAUGGGCCCUUUUCAUCUUUUUUCAUCUGGCUGGAUCCUAAUUUAUGGACUGAGUUCCUAGCUUGGUGUUGGACCUGCCUUGAUGUUGUGAACUUGCCUGGUGAUUGUGUCUGACUCUGUCAGAGCUGACCCUCCCUUGCUUGCUUGUGUUUCUGGCUUCAUAUGGGAACCAAUACUAUUUGAUAACUUGCAUCUGUCCCCCACCGCUCCCUUGCAAAAUGGAGGUUACAUUGUAAGAGUAAAAACCAGGGACAGUUUGGGACUCCAGGAGAUGAAAGGCUACAGUUUGUCUUAAAAGGGUAGAGGUGCUUCCACUUCCUGACCUUCCCUCUGUUGCUCUUGUGAGGAAUUAAAUUAACCCAGACAGAACCAUGAUGAUUUUGACUGCCAUGUGUACAUGAAAUGAAAUUUGCCCUUUUCCUUAUUCUUGCAGAUCCAAGAAGUCCUGGCUAAAAUCAGGCGUUUACAUGCAUAUUAGUGUUUACAUGUACAGUAUGGGCAAGGAGUGCUACUGUGGCAUGACUUGCCCUAGCCCUGCCCCAAAAAACGUAAAUAGCCUUCUGGCAGGAGAUACUGGGGUGCAGAUUCUGUGACUUUGUAUUAUAGGUGGAGGAAUGGAGAGGGAGGGAGAGCUGGAUAUUUUUCUAUUCGCUUUCCUGUGCGUAACACACGUUUCUGCACGGAUAUUCAGCAACAGUCAUUGAUGAUCGCAUUAGCAGUAAUGUCUCUUGAUGUUUGCAGUCCCUCUUAAGGAGGACAGGAAGUGAAAUACUAAAAAUUGGUCUUCCAUGACUGAUGGAAAAGUAACUCAAUUGCUUUUCUGAAUUGUCAGCUACAUCUUGCGCAUCUCUACACAG